RNAcentral lists this non-coding RNA (20 nucleotides) under Arabidopsis thaliana (thale cress). The record is from RNAcentral. Lineage: Eukaryota; Viridiplantae; Streptophyta; Magnoliopsida; Brassicales; Brassicaceae.
UAUCGACGAACUAGAAAAGA